GUUAUAUGGUCAAGUGAAGAAGCGCAUACGGUGGAUGCCUUGGCAGUCAGAGGCGAUGAAAGACGUGGUAGCCUGCGAAAAGCUUCGGGGAGUCGGCAAACAGACUGUGAUCCGGAGAUGUCUGAAUGGGGGAACCCAGCCAUCAUAAGAUGGUUAUCUUGUACUGAAUACAUAGGUGCAAGAAGCGAACCAGGGGAACUGAAACAUCUAAGUACCCUGAGGAAAAGAAAUCAACCGAGAUUCCCUUAGUAGUGGCGAGCGAACGGGGACCAGCCCUUAAGUUGUAUUGAGAUUAGCGGAACGUUCUGGAAAGGACGGCCAUAGUGGGUGAUAGCCCUGUACGCGAAAAUCCCUUUGCAAUGAAAUCGAGUAGGACGGGGCACGAGAAACCUUGUCUGAAUAUGGGGGGACCNNNNNNNNNNAUGCGUACAAGCAGUGGGAGCCCACUUUGUUGGGUGACUGCGUACCUUUUGUAUAAUGGGUCAGCGACUUAUUUUCAGUGGCGAGCUUAACCGAAUAGGGGAGGCGUAGCGAAAGCGAGUCUUAAUAGGGCGUCUAGUCGCUGGGAAUAGACCCGAAACCGGGCGAUCUAUCCAUGGGCAGGUUGAAGGUUGGGUAACACUAACUGGAGGACCGAACCGACUACCGUUGAAAAGUUAGCGGAUGACCUGUGGAUCGGAGUGAAAGGCUAAUCAAGCUCGGAGAUAGCUGGUUCUCCUCGAAAGCUAUUUAGGUAGCGCCUCAUGUAUCACUGUAGGGGGUAGAGCACUGUUUCGGCUAGGGGGUCAUCCCGACUUACCNNNNNNNNNNCAGCUAAGGUCCCAAAGUCAUGGUUAAGUGGGAAACGAUGUGGGAAGGCUUAGACAGCUAGGAGGUUGGCUUAGAAGCAGCCACCCUUUAAAGAAAGCGUAAUAGCUCACUAGUCGAGUCGGCCUGCGCGGAAGAUGUAACGGGGCUCAAACCAUGCACCGAAGCUACGGGUAUCAUCUUUUGAUGAUGCGGUAGAGGAGCGUUCUGUAAGCCUGUGAAGGUGAGUUGAGAAGCUUGCUGGAGGUAUCAGAAGUGCGAAUGCUGACAUGAGUAACGACAAUGGGUGUGAAAAACACCCACGCCGAAAGACCAAGGUUUCCUGCGCAACGUUAAUCGACGCAGGGUUAGUCGGUCCCUAAGGCGAGGCUGAAAAGCGUAGUCGAUGGAAAACAGGUUAAUAUUCCUGUACUUCUGGUUAUUGCGAUGGAGGGACGGAGAAGGCUAGGCCAGCCUGGCGUUGGUUGUCCAGGUUUAAGGUGGUAGGCUGAGAUCUUAGGUAAAUCCGGGAUCUCAAGGCCGAGAGCUGAUGACGAGUGUUCUUUAGAACACGAAGUGGUUGAUGCCAUGCUUCCAAGAAAAGCUUCUAAGCUUCAGGUAACCAGGAACCGUACCCCAAACCGACACAGGUGGUUGGGUAGAGAAUACCAAGGCGCUUGAGAGAACUCGGGUGAAGGAACUAGGCAAAAUGGCACCGUAACUUCGGGAGAAGGUGCGCCGGUGAGGGUGAAGCAUUUACUGCGUAAGCCCACGCCGGUCGAAGAUACCAGGCCGCUGCGACUGUUUAUUAAAAACACAGCACUCUGCAAACACGAAAGUGGACGUAUAGGGUGUGACGCCUGCCCGGUGCCGGAAGGUUAAUUGAUGGGGUUAGCGCAAGCGAAGCUCUUGAUCGAAGCCCCGGUAAACGGCGGCCGUAACUAUAACGGUCCUAAGGUAGCGAAAUUCCUUGUCGGGUAAGUUCCGACCUGCACGAAUGGCGUAACGAUGGCGGCGCUGUCUCCACCCGAGACUCAGUGAAAUUGAAAUCGCUGUGAAGAUGCAGUGUAUCCGCGGCUAGACGGAAAGACCCCGUNNNNNNNNNNGCGUGGACGCCAGUCUGCGUGGAGCCAACCUUGAAAUACCACCCUGGCAACUUUGAGGUUCUAACUCAGGUCCGUUAUCCGGAUCGAGGACAGUGUAUGGUGGGUAGUUUGACUGGGGCGGUCUCCUCCUAAAGAGUAACGGAGGAGUACGAAGGUGCGCUCAGACCGGUCGGAAAUCGGUCGUAGAGUAUAAAGGCAAAAGCGCGCUUGACUGCGAGACAGACACGUCGAGCAGGUACGAAAGUAGGUCUUAGUGAUCCGGUGGUUCUGUAUGGAAGGGCCAUCGCUCAACGGAUAAAAGGUACUCCGGGGAUAACAGGCUGAUACCGCCCAAGAGUUCAUAUCGACGGCGGUGUUUGGCACCUCGAUGUCGGCUCAUCACAUCCUGGGGCUGAAGCCGGUCCCAAGGGUAUGGCUGUUCGCCAUUUAAAGUGGUACGCGAGCUGGGUUUAGAACGUCGUGAGACAGUUCGGUCCCUAUCUGCCGUGGACGUUUGAGAUUUGAGAGGGGCUGCUCCUAGUACGAGAGGACCGGAGUGGACGAACCUCUGGUGUUCCGGUUGUCACGCCAGUGGCAUUGCCGGGUAGCUAUGUUCGGAAAAGAUAACCGCUGAAAGCAUCUAAGCGGGAAACUUGCCUCAAGAUGAGAUCUCACUGGAACCUUGAGUUCCCUAAAGGGCCGUCGAAGACUACGACGUUGAUAGGUUGGGUGUGUAAGCGCUGUGAGGCGUUGAGCUAACCAAUACUAAUUGCCCGUGAGGCUUGACCAUAUAACACCCAAGCAAUU
Molecule: ribosomal RNA, 2678 nt
Filed under: Pseudomonas savastanoi
Lineage: Bacteria; Pseudomonadati; Pseudomonadota; Gammaproteobacteria; Pseudomonadales; Pseudomonadaceae
Description: 23S ribosomal RNA
Rfam family: Bacterial large subunit ribosomal RNA
Source: RNAcentral